Molecule: long non-coding RNA, 3505 nt
Organism: Cannabis sativa
Lineage: Eukaryota; Viridiplantae; Streptophyta; Magnoliopsida; Rosales; Cannabaceae
Exons: 2
Source: RefSeq, a predicted model, not a curated record
UUCGGUGUCAAAUAUGACUAAUUUUUAUUUACUUUCCCACUGGAUUGAUUUUAAGAGCUCUGUGGGCAUUUUGCUCUUAAGUAUUAUGGGCUACUCCACACACAUACAUAUGACAGACUAAAUAUACAUAAGAAGAACUACAUAAAAAGUACUUUGUCAAUUUGCUCUAUUUCUUCUUGUUACAGGGGUCUUCUCCUGUAUCCCUUCUUCAGACAAAGCUAUUAAGUAGUCUUUGUUGAGGACUUUUAUUAUUCUUCAAGAGUUCAUGUCUCAUUUAAGUUGCUUAAAGCUUAAAAAUGGCACAUUACAUAUUUUCCUCCCUUCUCGUUCAUUAAAAUAUUUAAGUUGCUUGGAUUUGUUUACUACGUUAACAAUGGCUUAACAAUAGAAAUUUAUGAAAAAACCUUUGCAAUGCCUACGAAUACAAACAUAAACAUGAGUUAAAACAUUUAGGAGAAAGAAAGGGGAAUAAAAAAAGACAGAUGACAUGAAUGAGCACAAACAUAAGUUUUAAAAAGGGAGGUAAUUCACCUUUAAUGGGAUUGCUCAAUGUGAUCAGCUUAAAUCAAUUUGCCGCCAUUUGCUCUAUCCUCACAAAGUAGAGAAUAACAUUCCUCAUAAAAUGGAAAUAACUUUCCACUCAGGGCGAAUACAACCCUGGUUGAGCAGAGAAAUUGUGAUUCUAGGAUUUUGAAGAGGCAAAAAACCAUUUGCAGCCACUACGACGGCUAAAAGUCCACAAGUCAAUCAGUUUGUGUCCCUGCUUUCACCCGGAAGCUGAGUCUCCUUUACAUCCCUCAAAUUGGAUUCCUCAAGAACUAAACCCCGGCGACCCAAAAGAACAAGAUCAAGAAGCUUUCUCCUAGCAUCAUAAACUGGAUUGGGGUGAACCAAACAUCCCCUAUCAUAAGCCUCUCUCAGAAAAACAGUGUGUCUCUUCCCCUUGGUUGACAAAUAGAAAAUCCCAGGGUGGUCCAAGAACAAAUCCCUUAUAUUCAGAUCAAUUCCAAACCAUUUCCUGAAAUGACUUAUCUUCUCCACUUCCACCAUCUUCUCAACAGUCAAACUCAAAAAUUCAUGAGCUAUAGCAACUGCCCUUUUCUCCAAAGCCAUCGCAGUAGCCUUUGACUUUGAUCUCAUUGCCCCUGGAAGCAUUUUCUCGUAUGGCCCUACAUAUGGCAAACUCUGCCACAAGUUAACCUUAGCCUUAAAAUUCUUAGACAACCUCAUCCCAGGAGGGUAUCCGUGCUUAAAACUGAACUGAAUCGCAGUCCUCUCAACACCACAAUUCUCUUUACAACACUCCUCAACUCUCCAGUUAUCCACAGCCGAAGUAAAAGAACUAGUUUUAUUCCUAAUAUUAUCAACCAUGCUUAGAGUAUGAGUACCGGGUUCAGACCCAUCUAAAAGCUUGAACAAAUGAGGGUUUUGGGAUAGUACCGAGUCCUCGAAGUCGUCAGGCAACCCAAGCUCCCUCCAGACCUUGAAAAUGGCUCGAAGCGGCACCGUUUUGGAGGUGGACAUGGAGAGAAGGCGGAGAAGGCGAUCAACGACGAGGGGGAGCGAGGCGGCAAUGGCGUCGGAUUCUUGGUGAGAAAUGCGAAGAGCAUCAUUAGUUAAUGCGCACAAGGGUUGGGACUUGGUUGGGUCGUAGAAGAUGCGGAAAAUGUGAGGGUAUUUGCGGAGGAAGGAGGUGGAGCCGCGGUUGAGGUGGAGCUUCUGGGCGAGCUUGGAGAGGAAUUCAAGAGAAACAACGGGGUUUUGAGGGUUAGCAAGGAUGAGGUCUUGGAUGGAGAUAACUUUGAGGAAGUUCUUGUAGUUGUCCAUGAAUUUCUCGAAAGUGGGGUCUCUAGCUCUGGAAGACACGUAGUGAGAUGAGGUUGUUUUCAAUCGGACGAUAAUGGAGGGAGAGAUGAAAUGGUAUGAUUGAUUAUUCCUCAUGAAUCCCACUAUCCGACUCCCCAUCGAAAUCAUUCCCAGUUUCUUCCUAGUCAUAUUCAUUGUUGCAGCAAGCAACGCCUACAAAUGGUUUAACAGCAAUAUGUUCAUGUUGCUUUUAUUUCAGGGAGAGAGAGAUGUUUUUUUUUUUUUUUUUUUUGAAGAGAAGAAGAAGGAGAAGGAGAAAUUGAUAACAGUUUCUUUCUGAAUUUACGUGAAUUUCAAUUUCAUUUUUUUUAGCUAGGGAAACAUGUCUCCUCUAGCAAAAAAGAGAAAACACCCUCUUCUCUAGAUUUGCCAGCCUUUACCUUAGGCCUCUGUGGUGGCUCGGGAAUGGAAUAGGUGAGUGGUUGCUAUUUGGCACCACCUUAAGGUUCUUAUAAGAACACAGAUAAUUUUCAAUUGAAGCAUUAAGAGAAUGUUUCCCACUCUUACAUUUCUAUAUCAUCACCCCCACUCUUCAAUUUUUGAUAUGCAUAUUAAUGAUGGGCAGUAUGCUAUAACUCUUAACUUACCCGAUUCUAAAGUGAAGUACACCUCUUCACAGUGACAGAAUCUUCAACAUCUCCUAUCUCAAACAUGUUAUUCAAAACAAUUAUAUCUCUCAUUGUGUAGCAGAAUCAUUUACAACUCAUUGAACCUAAUAUAUCUCUCAUACGGCAGCAUAGAAACAGACCAGUACUCGACCUGCAGAAAUGGAAGAAUUUCCAAACCUGAGCAUACAUAAAAUUUCAUUCAACAUACUCUAUACACUAAUUAACAGCCAGUCCGGUGCUACAUCAUAGGCAUAUUGAGAACGUAGAUAAUUGUAACCAUAUUCAAAUGAAAUGACAGCAAUGGAAUGCUAAUCCUCAUACUUCAUAUGCAAUAGUGACCAUUAAACCACUAAUGUUUACACCAUACUCUGCCUUGUAGAGAUCUUUCUCUAACAUGUCUAUUUGUUUUCUCCAAAUACAUAAAACUAAUCGAGAAAAAUAUAUAUUCAUAUAAAACUUAAUCUGCAAAAUUCUCAUAUUUCUUAAUAUGGUUAUAAAAGAUUCCCAUGUUUUGCAAAUUCCUCUUUCCCAUGCAAUGUUCUUAAAACUUGAACUCUUUCAAUCAUAAUGGAACAAAUAUUUUUCUUCUUGCUCAAACUCUCAUGAGAAUGGGGAGUUCAAAAUUCCAUUUAGAAAAGGUGUGUUUUAUUUAUAUUUAUUAUAAGUACUAAUACUUCAAAUGCUGAUAAGCUACAACAUGGUAAUGUUUUCUGGCAGUAGAAGUAAAAGCCAACAAUAAGAAAAGAAAGAUAGUCUAAUGUAAUGUAAUAAGUUGGAUUGAACCCAUCAAAGUUUGGAACUUAGUUCCCAGCAAGAAGGGCAUCGAUUUUGUUUUCCAAGUGGGCUUCAUGGUCUUCAAGGCGACCCUUGAUGGCGUCAUUUUCCCAAAGGAUCAAAGUUGGAACACCGGUUAGCUUGAAUUUUGAGUCUACUCUCCAAGGAUGCAGGGGAGUCCUCCAUGUAGGACGGUCUCCCACAUAAGCUCUCAACAGAACAACAUCAUUAGAAGUAGCUUCUAGCUUCUUGUAGAU